RNAcentral lists this ribosomal RNA (789 nucleotides) under Triticum aestivum (bread wheat). RNAcentral describes it as "partial small subunit ribosomal RNA". Lineage: Eukaryota; Viridiplantae; Streptophyta; Magnoliopsida; Poales; Poaceae. The record is from RNAcentral.
AUGUCCUCCUCCUCCGCUGUUCCCUCCUCCGGCCUAAACUACAACAUCUCCGAGCCUCUCACUAGGACAAACUAUGUCCUUUGGUGAGCUCAAGCCCGAUCCCAAAUACUGGGCGCCGGCCUGUAUGGCUAUGUCGACAAAACCAUAGCGGAGCCUCCCAAGAUCAUCAUCGCCAAGGAUAAAGAUGGCAAGGAUCAGGAGAUGUCGAACCCUGCCUAUGCCCCCUGGCUAGUCCAGGAUAAACAAAUGGUUGCCUACCUUCUCCGAAACCUCUCCAAGGAGGUCCUCGUCCAGGUGGCUUCGCUGGAGACCUCGCAUGCAAUAUGGACGGCGCUCUCCAACAUGUUUGCUGCGGUCUCCCUCUCUCGCGUCAACAAUCUUCGUGCUGCCCUCACCAACGCCCAAAAGGGCACACAAUCUGCCUCAACAUACUUCGGCUAUAUGCGUUCCCUCUCUGAUGAGCUCGCGGAGGCGGGCAGACCUCUCGGAGAGCCGGAACACAUCUUGUUCAUUGUCGCGGCCUUGAUAUGGAUUACCCGCCACUUAUCUCCGCGCUUGAUGUCCGCACUAAGCCCAUCACGGUCGAUCUCCUUUUCUCUCUGCUGGCCAAUUUUGAUCAGCGGGUCGAACUGUACCACGACAACAGCGGAGGCGGGAUCAAAUCCUCAGCGAACUCUGCCUCCCGAGGCAGGCAGGGAGGCAGAGGUGGCUAUCGCAACCAAAAGAGCGGCUGUCACGCCCAAUAUGCGACCCUAUCCUAAAGGAACUCGAAGGUCCCACCAAGGAUAG